Molecule: ribosomal RNA, 465 nt
Filed under: Vreelandella stevensii
Lineage: Bacteria; Pseudomonadati; Pseudomonadota; Gammaproteobacteria; Oceanospirillales; Halomonadaceae
Description: partial 16S ribosomal RNA
Rfam family: Bacterial small subunit ribosomal RNA
Source: RNAcentral
CCUACGGGGGGCUGCAGUGGGGAAUAUUGGACAAUGGGGGCAACCCUGAUCCAGCCAUGCCGCGUGUGUGAAGAAGGCCCUCGGGUUGUAAAGCACUUUCAGUGAGGAAGAACGCCUGGUGGUUAAUACCCAUCAGGAAAGACAUCACUCACAGAAGAAGCACCGGCUAACUCCGUGCCAGCAGCCGCGGUAAUACGGAGGGUGCGAGCGUUAAUCGGAAUUACUGGGCGUAAAGCGCGCGUAGGUGGCUUGAUAAGCCGGUUGUGAAAGCCCCGGGCUCAACCUGGGAACGGCAUCCGGAACUGUCAAGCUAGAGUGCAGGAGAGGAAGGUAGAAUUCCCGGUGUAGCGGUGAAAUGCGUAGAGAUCGGGAGGAAUACCAGUGGCGAAGGCGGCCUUCUGGACUGAUACUGACACUGAGGUGCGAAAGCGUGGGUAGCAAACAGGAUUAGAUACCCUUGUAGUC